UGACCUCGGAUCAGGUAGGGAUACCCGCUGAACUUAAGCAUAUCAAUAAUCGGAGGAA
This 58-nucleotide ribosomal RNA is filed under the name Aspergillus niger. Its description in RNAcentral is "partial 28S ribosomal RNA". The record is from RNAcentral. Lineage: Eukaryota; Fungi; Ascomycota; Eurotiomycetes; Eurotiales; Aspergillaceae.